RNAcentral lists this small RNA (655 nucleotides) under Pongo abelii (Sumatran orangutan). RNAcentral's name for it is "retained intron". The record is from RNAcentral. Lineage: Eukaryota; Metazoa; Chordata; Mammalia; Primates; Hominidae.
GGACUGCGGUGCUCAUCAGACCUGAGCAGUUGCUCCGGCGGCGCUCGGGGAGGGAGCCAGCAGCCUGGGGCCCAGGCCCGGGCCACCAUGGCGCUGCCUUCGGGCCCAGCCGCCCUCCGGCACACACUGCUGCUCCUGCCAGCCCUUCUGAGCUCAGGUACACCCCUGUUCAGUCGUUGACCAAGUCCUUCUGGGGUCCAAAGUCCCCUCUCUCCCCUGUCUGCACUUCUGUUUGGGUACCCACUCCAGGCCCCAAGCCCUGGAGUCCCUGUUCCCUUCACCCACCUACCCUAGGUCCAACCAGCCAGUCCCUGGUAAGAGGACUCAGGCGCCCUUUCCCUUGGUCUGCUGCUCCUCUCACUGGGCCAAUUCCGGUCACAGCACAGUACCAGCCCUGCCUGAGCCCUUCCCAGAGCCCCCCUGCUGUGUUCCAGGUUGUGGGGAGUUGGAGCCACAAAUAGAUGGUCAGACCUGGGCUGAGCGGGCACUUCGGGAGAAUGAACGCCACGCCUUCACCUGCCGGGUGGCAGGGGGGCCUGGCACCCCCAGAUUGGCCUGGUAUCUGGAUGGACAGCUGCAGGAGGCCAACACCUCAAGACUGCUGAGCGUGGGAGGGGAGGCCUUCUCUGGAGGCACCAGCACCUUCACAGUCACA